AUUGAACGCUGGCGGCAUGCCUUACACAUGCAAGUCGAACGGCAGCACGGGGGCAACCCUGGUGGCGAGUGGCGAACGGGUGAGUAAUACAUCGGAACGUGCCCAGUAGUGGGGGAUAGCCCGGCGAAAGCCGGAUUAAUACCGCAUACGACCUAUGGGUGAAAGCGGGGGAUCGCAAGACCUCGCGCUACCGGAGCGGCCGAUGUCAGAUUAGGUUGUUGGUGGGGUAAAAGCCACCAAGCCGACGAUCUGUAGCUGGUCUGAGAGGACGACCAGCCACACUGGGACUGAGACACGGCCCAGACUCCUACGGGAGGCAGCAGUGGGGAAUUUUGGACAAUGGGCGCAAGCCUGAUCCAGCCAUGCCGCGUGCGGGAA
RNAcentral lists this ribosomal RNA (378 nucleotides) under uncultured bacterium. Its description in RNAcentral is "bacterial SSU rRNA". It matches the Rfam family "Bacterial small subunit ribosomal RNA", at positions 29 to 409 of the family's 1533-position model. The record is from RNAcentral.